CCCAAAUUGUGCAGUUGAGUUUCCAACAUUUGGGGAAAUCACAGAGGUCAGCACAUCCAGAGUGCAAUGGAUGAGCCUUGCCCUGGAAAAACCACCUUUGUGAUCAUGGCGUCUCGCCUGGCAGUUGAAGCUCUGGAUCUGGUGGACCCAAGCCACUGCUGUUAUAACUGAAGAGGACAAGCCUGUGAUCAAAGAGUGACUGUGGAAGCAAGUGAUGACAUGGUGGCGCCAUAGAAGAAAGUGGCCUGGAUUGUGGAGCCAGCUCAUGGAGGACACUGCCCUGAAAUUUCACCUAGAUUCCUGAGUCCCCAGUCAGCCCUGGGAAAAGGGGCCCUGC
Long non-coding RNA from Lemur catta (Ring-tailed lemur), 337 nucleotides. RefSeq lists it as uncharacterized. The record is from RefSeq and is a predicted model, not a curated record. Lineage: Eukaryota; Metazoa; Chordata; Mammalia; Primates; Lemuridae. The transcript has 4 exons.